RNAcentral lists this long non-coding RNA (24477 nucleotides) under Mytilus galloprovincialis (Mediterranean mussel). Lineage: Eukaryota; Metazoa; Mollusca; Bivalvia; Mytilida; Mytilidae. The record is from RNAcentral.
AACAUCCGCUAUAAACAAUGAAAUGCAUCAACUGCGGAACAAAGUGUAAUAGUCUUUAUAGACAUUACUCUAAAGAUAUAAUACAACUGGAACACUGCGUAAGUAAUAUUUAAUAUUUAGAAGACAAUUUAUAACCCAUAGCAUACCAAAACAUUGAAUGCAUCACAUAAUAAACUUCGAUUUGUUGCCACACGAUAAUUUCACAUGUCUUCUUCUUCUUCCCGGUUACGAGUCAAACUCUGUUCUAAAGUGAAAUUGACUCGUGCGCAACUCAAACAGACAUCUUUGUCCUUCUUCUUCCAGUAAGCGGCCAUCGUCAACUUUUUGACUGUUCUGCCACGUUUAUGGAGUGCGCGCAUGAAUAAAAUUUUAAAUUUAACAAAAAACAAAAACAAAAACUAGGUGAGAUUUAUAUACAAGUGCAAAUAAAAACGUGUCAAUUUAAUUUACUGACGGAGCUGAGCCUUGAAAGAUUAAGGACUCGGGGCAGAGACCUUAUAGUUGGGCAAGGUGUUCCACUCUCUUAUUGUUCUAGGAUAGAACGACUCCUUUCGAACUGUUGUUUUGCAUGAUGGAAUUCUAAAUGCUUUUUCGUUGUUAUUCCUGGAAGGACGUUCAUUUGGUAUCAGUUUAUUUGAUGUAUCAAUCUUUACAUAGUUGUUAUUAAGCUUGUACAUCAUUAUCAGUCUGCUCUGUUUUCUUCGUUCUUGUUGUGUAGUCCAUUCUAGAUGUUCAAGCAUGUCACUAACAGAUGAAGUGUUGUGGUAUCUGUUAGUAACAUACCUUGCUGCUCAUCUUUGGACCAUUUCCAAUCUAUAAAUAUCCUUUUGUUGGUACGGGUCCCAUACUGAACUAGCAUAUUCCAAUCUUGGUCUGACGAGGGACACAUAUGCUUUUUCUUUUAUAUAGACUUGUUGGAGAUGUUUAAGUUCCUUUUAAGAAAACUGAUGGUAUUGUUUGCUUUGGAGGAGAUGUUGCUAAUGUGUUUACCCCAUUUUAGAUCUGUUGCAAUGGUACAUCCCAGGUAUUUUGCUGCUGCAACAUGUUCAAGGUUAUGGCAAUGUAGUGUGUAACUGUAUUUAGCUGGUGUUCGCUUUUUGGAGAUGAUGAGUACGUUACAUUUAUCAGGAUGAAACUUCAUGAGCCAUUUCGUUUCCCAUUCAGCUAGUUUGUCAAGGUCCUUUUGAAGGUUUUCUGAAUCUGCAUCGGAUGAAAUUGUGACAUACGCAAUUGUGUCACCAGCAAACAGUUGUACAGUUUUCGAUCCCUGGGGCAUGUUCAUUUAUAUAGAAUAGGAAAAGACUUCGGUCCUAGGACAGAUCCUUGGGGUACGCCGGACUCCACAGGUAUCGAGGUUGAUGUUUCUCCCUCCACCACUACUGAUUGUGUUCUAUCAUCGAGGAAGUUCUUUAUCCACUCAUUUGUUUUACUGUUAAUCAUAAUGAUUCAGUUUGUGGAUGAGAAGGCUAUGACAAACCUUGUCAAAUGCCUUUGAGAAGUCCAUUAUGAGACAAUUAUGUCAUCGAUGAAUUCAAUGAGUUGUGACUCACAUGAUAGUCCUCUCUGGAAGCCAUGUUGUAAAGGAUACAUGAUGUUUUGUGCAUCAGCAUGAGACAUAAUGUGACUAGUUACAAUAUGCUCCAUUAGUUUGCAUGAUAAACAGGGGAGUGAAACUGGUCUAUAAUUAAUUGGAUCGUUUUUCUUCCCUUUCUUAUACACUGGACAGAUGUUAGCUGAUUUCCAAAUACUUGGCACAUCCCCUGUAAGAUAUGAGCGGCAGAAUAUAAUUGUCAGUAUUGGAGCUAUGUUUGAUGCAAGUUCUUCAAGGACUCGAGGUGUUAUGCUGUCUGGUCCAGCUGCUUUGUUUGGAUUUAGGUUUUUCAGAAGUUUGUUCACAUCAUUUUCUGUAAUAUUGAUGUCGGAGAUGUUUUGAAAUUUACCAGACAUAUUACACUGCUUUUGGAAUUCUUGGUUUGAUAUGUUGGUUUUGUCUGAAAAGGCUUUCUGAAAUUGUCCGUUGAGUAUAUCUGCCUUUUCUGUUGGUUCUGAUUGUAGAGUUCCAUUAUAUUUUAGGGGAGGUAUUGUAAUCCCAUCUGAUCUCUUGUGUUUUAUAAAGCCUUAAAAGGUCCAGAAUCUCUUCAUGCAGUUUGGUUUUUCUAUACUGUCGAUGUAAUUCUAGUAAGCUUUCCUGAUUCUCUCUGUGUGCGACAUUUUAUGUUUCUUUGUUUGUUUUUGUCGCCUCCAUUUCCAGAUUUUUUCAUUCUCAUAUACCAUCUAUCCCUCUUUCUUAUUAGGCGUUUGAUGUCAGUUGUAAUUCAGGGACUACCAUCCUUCUUUCUAGCGGUCUUUUUUAGUACAUUUUUAUGCCCCACCUACGAUAGUAGAGGGGCAUUAUGUUUCUGGUCUGUGCGUCCGUUUCGUCCGUUCCGUUCGUUCGUUCGUUCGUCGUCCGUCUGUCGUCAGGUUAAAGUUUUUGGUCAAGGUAGUUUUUGAUGAAGCUGAAGUCCAAUCAACUUGAAACUUAGUACACAUGUUCUUAUGAGAUGAUCUUUCUAAUUUAAAUGCCAAAUUAGAGUUUUUGACCCCAAUUUUACGGUCCACUGAUAGAAAAUGAUAGUGAAGUUUCAGGUUAAAGUUUUUUUCAGGUUAAAGUUUUGGUCAAGGUAGUUUUUGAUGAAGUUGAAGUCCAAUCAACUUGAAACUUAGUAUACAUGUGCUAUGAUAUGAUCUUUCUAAUUUUAAAUGCAAAUUAGAGUUUUGACCCCAAUUUUACGGUUGCACAUAGAAAUGAUAGUGAUUUUUCAGGUUAAAGUUUUUGGUUCAAGGUAGUUUUGAUGAAGUUGAAGUCCAAUCAAUUGAAACUUAGUAACAUGUGCCCUAUGAUAUGAUCUUUCUAAUUUAAUGCCAAAUAGAGUUUUGACCCCAAUUUUACGUUCCACUGAACAUAGAAAAUGAUAGUGCAAAUUUCAGGUUAAAGUUUUUGGUCAAGGUACUUUGAUGAAGUUGAAGUCCAAUCACUUGAACUUAGUAUACAUUGCCCUAUGAUAUGAUCUUUCUAAUUUAAAUGCCAAAUUAGAGUUUUGACCCCAAUUUUACGGUCACUGAACAUAGAAAAUGAUAGUGGCAAAUUUCAGCGUUAAAGUUUUUGGCUUAAAGUUAAAGUUUUUGGUCAAGGUAGUUUUUGAUGAAGUUGAAGUCCAAUCAACUUGAAAUUAGUAUACAUGUGCCCUUAGAUCUUCUAAUUUAAAGCCAAAUUAGAGUUUUGACCCCAAUUUUACGGUUCACUGAACAUAGAAAAUGAUAGUGCAAAUUUCAGGUUAAAGUUUUUGGUCAAGGUACUUUUUGAUAAAGUAGAAGUCCAAUCAACUUGAAACUUAGUAUACAUGUUCCCUUUGAUAAGAUCUUCUAAUUUAAUGCCAAAUUAGAGAAUAUUCAUUUUCACAGUCCUUUAAACAUAGAAAAUGAUAGUGUGAGUGGGGCAUCCGUGUACUGUGGACACAUUCUUGUUACUUAUGCUUUCUUCCAAUUUAGUUUGAAAGUGUGUCCACAGUGCAUCUACUCUCUCUUACUGUUCAUUCAUUGAGAUAAUAUCUUUAUAUAGGUUAUUAAGGUCAACUUUCAUAUGUUCUCAAUUUGUAUAAUGGUAUAAUCCUCGGUUUUUUUUUUAUAGAUUUCAAGGCAUUAAGAUUCACUUCUGCAAAAACGAUAUCAUGGUCAGAAAUUCCGGGUAAGGUUUUAACUCUCAUGAAGCUAUCUGGAUGAUUUGUUACAACAAGGUCAGUGUAUUUGGUCCUCUAGUAGGUUUGUUUACAAGUUGUGCCAUGCCAUUAUCAUCAUCCAAUAUGUCAGCAAACUUUUCGUGAUUUGCAACGCAUUGAGUGAGUAACUUUAUUUCUUUGCUAGACCAGUCCCAGCCUGGUAGAUUGAAGUCACCAGCUGAGAUGAUAAAAGCAUUUCUUAUUUUGCUAGCUCUUUCAAUGCUUAUUCCAUAUUCAGUAUAUCCCUUUUUGUUUGAUGUUUUAGGGUUGUAAUAACUGGAGAGAUAGACGGUUUUAUGACCAAUAAUCUCCAUCUUGCACCAAACAAUCUCACAGUCGGUUUGCAGUUCUGGUACUGAUGAUGUAAUGUAUGCGUCAUUCACGGCUAUGAGUACUCCCCCUCCACUUAAGUUCCUGUCAUUCCUGUAAAUAUUAUAAUCUUCUGGAAAAUAUUGUGUAUCUUUUAUUGAUGCAUCUAGCCAGGUCUCAGUUCCAAAAUAAUGUCUGGCUUUGUGCUUGUACUUUCACAAUAAAUAAUUUAUUAAUCAGUUCACCCUGUUUGUUUCUUAUAGUUGGAAGUUGACGUUUAAUACCCGUAUAGUUUUAGGAUUUAUCAUCUUGCUCUUUUUUCUUUUUUGUUUUCCUCUCUGGCGUUGAUGUAUGUAGUGGUUUUAUGACACCAGGUGUUGGACUGUUGAUGACGAUAUUUGAUAGUAUGCUAAAUUGAUUUGAGGUGCUGAAAACUAAAGAAUAGCAGAAGGUGGAGUAAUUUGACAAUUACACAUGAUGCAAUCCCAUGCAAUGGCUGAGUCAUUUCCAUGUUCUAAGUAUGACUUGGUUUGCAUAGACUGGCAACUGACGUGGUACCAUUGGUUGCAUGUAUCACAAACGAUACCUCUUCUUGCCAUGCUACUGGUUGGUCGCAUGUGCCACAUGGAUAAACAGUUCCACUUGUAUCUUAACAUUCAGGUCCAAGGUUCAUGUUUACAUCAUUUAAUAACAAGAUUAGUAUCAUUGAGAUGUAUGUUUAGUUCCCAUUCUUCCAGCGAGGUAAGGUAUUUUUGCAGCAAGUCUUUAUCUUUUGUUUUCCUAAUGCGGCGGAAGAGUAGAUAGUCAUCAGCAAACAGUCGACCGCUUGAUGUUGUUGCGUCUGGGAGGUCGUUGAUAUAGAAUAGAAAGAGUAAGGGGCCCAUCUUAGUACCCUUGGGGUACUCCAGAUACUACGUCAAGAGUGGUUUUCGAGAAUCAAACAAUGAGGUAUGUUGGUUAGAAGCUGGAAACCUCUUGCCCCGUAGUACUUCAUUUCAUGAAGUAGUCUGGCAUGUGGUACCUUAUCAAAGGCCUUGGCGAAGUCUAACAUGAUGAUGUAUGUCUGGUCGCCGUCCUCCAUAUUCUUAGCUAUUUCGUGUAUAGUUAUUACCAGUUGGGACUCGCAUAAUAGUUUGGUUCUAAACCCAUGUUGUUCGUCGCAAAGGAUGGUGUUUUGGUAAAAGUGGCCCAUGAUAGAACUGUUGACUAUGUGCUCUAGCAGCUAACAUGUGAUGGAUGUCAAGGACACUGGACGAUAAUUUGCUGCUGUGUGUACUGUGUUUUCCACCUUUCUUAAAGACUGGGACUAUGUUGGUUGUACUCUUGGUCUGGUACUGAUCCCUGGUACAAUGCUAAUCAAGUAUAGAGUGUGCAUUGACGGAUAAUUGAACUACUAUAUAGUUCCUGCCAUCUCUAACAACUACCCAAACUAAUACAAUAAGGCAGAGACAGAGAGAACAUAAAAAAAAGCAAAAGCAAGUUGCAAAAAAGUGUAUCAACGCUACAAUCAUUAAAUGCUAAAUUUCCAGAUAAGUAUUCGUCAAGCUCACAUAACUUUUUGAAGCCCAUGACCUCAUAAGUUCAAAACCAAACUGGAACACUAAGACCUUCUGGUCCUUUAUCAAGUAGCACAAUUGCGCAGUGUAGAAGGUCUGGCAAAUGAUUUCUAUUUACAUAACGAUAAUAGGUGGUAUAAUCGAUACCAUAUACCACCCCAUGGCCACACUAUAGAGACGGAUACUGUUAGCAGAUACUUUGACCCUUCAACUUUAUGCUUGUCUGGCUUUCUAAUUGUUAAGAUUUGAGCGUCAGUGAUGAGUCUUGUGUAGACAAAACGUGCAUCUGGCCUAUCAAAUUAUAAGCCUGGUACCUUUGAUAACUAUUUGACCAUCAGCCAAGAUCUAUAAUGACACAAUCACAUUGCUCAGACAAGAGACAAAGCUUAAAGAAGCUCAAAGAACAGUUGGGAUCUGGGGACGCAUCAACAUGAAUUAUCCACAGUGAGUUAAUCCAUGGCAUUUACUAGUGUAUUUGAGUAACUUUUAGUAUAAGUCUCAGUAGUCUAGGUACCAUAUUAUUACAAUCAAAUUCAACGAUACAUAAAAAAGAUAUGCCAGUCAGCAGUAUUUUACCAUGUUUACUACAGGAACUACAAAUCACGAAACCCUGAAUGUUCACUUACUUGCUUCACUAAUUACCUCUGGAUUCUUAAAACAACGAAUGGCGAGCGAUAUAAUCUUCUUUUUUCGUCAAUUACCUAUAGCUUUGUAAAUUCCCCGUCCAACACGUACUAGAAACACAAUCAGUGGGACGUGGACUUCCCAAGCUAACAAGAUCAGGCAAUAAACUCAUCAUAGAUAUCAGGACUAAAUUUUGUAUAUACGCCAGACGCGCGUUUCGUCUACAAAAGACUCAUCAGUGACGCUCGAUCCAAAAAAGUAAAAAGGCAAAUAAAGAACGAAGUUGAAGAGCAUUAGGAACAAAAUCCUAAAAGUUUCCAAAUCCAGCUAAAUUAUCUAUCCUGAGGUGAAAGCCUUAGUAUUCAAAAUUCUAGUACCAGAGUUGAUGUAUAUAAACCUUAUACCCCAGGAGUAGAUUACCUUAGCCAUAUUUGACACAACUUUUAGGAAUUUUUGAUCCUCAAUGCUCUUCAACUUUGUAUUUAUUUGGCUUUUUAACUAUUUUGAUCUGAGCGUCACUGAUGAGUCUUAUGUAGACGAAACGCGCGUCUGGCGUAUAAAAUUAUAAUCCUGGUACUUUUGAUAACUAUUUACACCACUGGGUCGAUGCCACUGUUGGUGGACGUUUCGUCCCCGAGGGUUUCACCAGCCCAGUGGUCAGCACUUUGGUGUUGACAUGAAUUUCAAUUAUAUGGUCAUUUUUAUUAAUUUCCUGUUACAAAACUUUGAAUUAUUCGAAAAACUAAGGAUUCUUAUCCCAGGAGUAGAUUACCUUAGCCGUAUGGCACAACUUUUCGAAUUUUGGGGAUUUUCAAAGCUCUUCACUUUUGUAUUUUGGCUUUUUAAACUAUUUUUGAUACUGAGCGUCACUGAUGAGUCUUAUUUAGACGAAACGCGCGUCUGGCGUAUAAAAUUAUAAUUCCUGGUACAUUUUUGUGAUAACUAUUUACAAACCACUGGGUCGAGCCACUGGCUGGUGGACGUUUCUCCCCGAGGGUAUCACCAGCCCAUAGUCAGCACUUCGGGUUGACAUGAAUAUCAAUUAUGUGGUCAUUUUUAUAAAUUUUCUGUUUUAAAACCUUGAAUUUUUCGAAAAAAACUAAGGAUUUUCUUACCCCAGAGCUAGAUUACCUUAGCCGUAUUUGGCACAACUUUUUGAAUUUGGAUCCUCAAUGCUCUUCAACUUUGUAUUGAUUUGGCUUUUUUAAACUAUUUUGAUCUGAGCGUCACUGAUAGUCUUAUGUAGACGAAACGCGCGUCUGGCGUAUAAAAAUUAUAAUCCUGGUACUUUUUGAUAACUAUUUACACCACUGGUCGAUGCCACUGCUGUGACGUUUCGUCCCCGGUAUCACCACCCAGUAGUCAGCACUCGUUUGACAUGAAUAUCAAUUAUGUGGUCAUUUUUAUAAAUUUCUGUUUACAAAACCUUGAAUUUUCGAAAAAACUAAGGAUUUCUUAACCCCAGGAGUAGAUUACCUUAGCCGUAUUUGGCACAACUUUUUGGAAUUUUGGAGCCUCAAUGCUCUCAACUUGUAUUAUUUGGCUUUUUUAACUAUUUGAUCUGAGCGUCACUGAUGAGUCUUAUUAGACGAAACGGCGUCUGGCGUAUAAAAUUAUAAUUCCUGGUACUUUUGAUAACUAUUUACACCACUGGGUCGAUGCCACUGCUGGUGGACGUUUCGUCCCUAGGUAUCACCAGCCCAGUAGUCAGCACUUCGGUGUUGACAAUGAAUAUCAAUUAUGUGGUCAUUUUAUAAAUUUUCUGUUUACAAAACUUGAAUUAUUCGAAAAAACUAAGGAUUUCUUACCCCAGGAGUAGAUUACCUUAGCCGUAUUGGCACAACUUUUUGAAUUUUGGAUCUCAAUGCUCUUCAACUUUGUAUUUUUGGCUUUUUAACUAUUUUGAUCUGAGGCACUGAUGAGUCUUAUGUAGACGAAAACGCGCGUCUGGCGUAUUAAAAUUAUAAUCCUGGUACCUUUUGAUAACUAUUUACACCACUGGGUCGAUGCCACUGCUGGUGGACGUUUCGCCCCGAGGUAUCACCAGCCCAGUAGUCAGCACUUCGGUGUUGACAUGAAUAUCAAUUAGUGGUCAUUUUUAUAAAUUUUCUGUUUACAAAACCUGAAUUUUUCGAAAAACUAAGGGAUUUCUUACCCAGGAGUAGAUUACCUUAGCCGUAUUUGGCACAACUUUUUGGAAUUUUGGAUCCUCAAUGCUCUUCAACUUUUAUUUAUUUGGCCUUUUUAACUAUUUUGAUCUGAAGCGUCACUGAUGAGUCUUAUGUAACGAAACGCGCGUCGGCGUAUAAAAUUAUAAUCCUGGUACUUUUGAUAACUAUUUACACCACUGGGUCGGAUGCCACUGCUGGUGACGUUUCGUCCCGAGGGUAUCACCAGCCCAGUAGUCAGCACUUCGUGUUGACAUGAAUAUCAAUUAUAUGGUCAUUUUAUAAAUUUCUGUUUACAAAACUUUGAAUUUUCGAAAAACUAAGGAUUUUCUUACCCCGGAGUAGAUACCUUAGCCGUAUUUGGCACAACUUUUGGAAUUUUGGAUCUCAAUGCUCUUCAACUUUGUAUUGAUUUGGCUUUUUAACUAUUUGAUCUGAGCGUCACUGAUGAGUCUUAUGUAGACGAAACGCGCGUCUGGCGCUAUAAAAUUUAUAAUCCUGGUACUUUUGAUAACUAUUUACACCACUGGUCGAUGCCACUGCUGGUGACGUUUCGUCCCCGAGGUAUCACCAGCCCAGAUCAGCACUUCGGUGUUGACAAUAUCAAUUAUUGCGUCAUUUUUAUAAAUUUUUGUUACAAAACCUUGAAUUUUUCGAAAACUAAGGAUUUUCUUACCCCAGAGUAGAUUACCUUAGCCGUAUUUGGCACAACUUUUUGGAAUUGGUCUCAAUGCUCUUCAACUUUGUAUUGAUUUGGCUUUUUAACUAUUUGAUCUGAGCGUCACUGAUGAGUCUUAUGUAGACGAAACGCGCGUCUGGCGUAUAAAAUUAUAAUCCUGGUACUUUUGAAACUAUUUACACCACUGGUCGAUGCCACUGCUGUGGACGUUUUCGUCCCCGAGGUAUCACCAGCCCAGUAGUAGCACUUCGGUGUUGACAUGAAUAUCAAUAUGUGUCAUUUUUAUAAAAAUCUGUUUACAAAACUUAAUUUUCGAAAAACUAAGGAUUUCUACCCCAGAGUAGAUUACCUAGCCGUAUUUGCACAACUUUUUGGAAUUUGGAUUCUCAAUGCCCUUCAACUUUGUAUUAUUUGGCUUUUAACUAUUUGAUCUGAGCGUCAUGAUGAGUCUUAUGUAGACAAACGCGCCUCUGCGCGUAUAAAUACUAAUCCUGUACUUUUAUAACUAGUUACACACUGUCCGAGCCCACUGCUGGGAGUUUCGUCCCGAGGGUACACCAGCCCAUAGUCAGCACUUGGUGUGACAUGAAUAUCAAUUAUAAGUCAUUUUUAUAAAUUUCUGUUUACAAAACUUUGAAUUUUUCGAAAAACUAAGGAUUUUCUUACCCCAGGAGUAGAUUACCUUAGCCGUAUUUGGCACAAUCUUUUGGAAUUUUGGGUCCUCAAUGCUCUUCAACUUUGUAUUUGUUUGGCUUUUUAACAGUUUUGAUUUGAGCGUCACUGAUGAGUCUUAUGUAUACGAAACGCCGUCUGGCUAUAAAAUUAUAAUCCUGUACUUUGAUAACUAUUUACACCACUGGUCGAUGCCACUGCUGGUACGUUCGUCCCCGAGGGUUCACCAGCCCGUAGUCAGCACUCGGUGUUGACAUGAAUAUCAAUUAUAUGUCAUUUUUAUAAAUUUUCCGUUACAAAACUUGAAUAUCGAAAACUAGGAUUUUUACCCCAGGAGUAGGUUACCUUAGCCGUAUUUGGCACCACUUUUGGAAUUUUGGAUCUCAAUGCUCUUCAACUUUGUAUUAUUUGCUUUUUAACUAUUUUGAUCUGAGCGUCACUGAUUGAGUUCUUAUGUAGACGAAACGCCGUCUGUCAUAAAAUUAUAAUCCUGGUACUUUUGAUAACUAUAUUCAUUCCUCAUACUAUUAAGAUGUGGAUCGAACGCUUUGUCUUCAUAUCUAAGACAACUGCACACUACAAACUGUUAACAAAUCUACAUACAAACUUUUAAGUAAUCAUCCACAGAACCCAAUCAUUUAUUUUUAAGUGCCGAUACAGUUUUAAAAUACCAUUUUUUACUGUACGGCCAAUAAAUGCCUCAGAGUCUGGAGUAGUUAAUCUCGUCUGAUGAGCCAACUCCAUAUCUGGGGAAAAAGAUUCAAAUCAUAAAUUAUAUAGGAAUAUUACAAAUGUACCUUUAAUAUCACAAGCAUGGGAUCCCGGGUCAUGGAAGGCAAAAGUAGUACACCGGUGGAUCCCGAGUCAAUAAAGACAACAGUAGUAAACUGGUGUUUAAAAGUCAUAAAUCGAUUGAGAGAAAACAAAUCCGGGUUACAAAUCAAAACCUGGGGAAACACAUUAAAUAUAAUAGGAAAACAAAGGAACAACGGGAACACCGAAGUGUAACAAACCACAAACGCCGACAUACAUAUAACAUGUAGAAACGAGCUAUUUGAUAACAACUGCCAUAUUCAUGACUUGGUACAGAACAUGUUAAAAAAAUAUCGCUAAAACACUAUGUUACAAAAAUACAGCGCACACAAAUAGUAUAACAGCCGACACAAAAUGCAAACCGCAAAACAACAAUGAACAUAUUCCAUUAACGACAAACACAAAAGGAUAUCGGAAUCAGUGACGCGCUUACGUAGCUAACAUGCAAUCUCGAACUUUUUUCAAUUAUUUUAACAAUAUUCGUCCAAACAAUUUUCAUGACAAUAAUGGUAUGGAUAGGGAAUUUUAUAAUUAUUUGGACUGCAAACGAUAACACAAAACAGAUUUUCAAACCGAGACUAUAUCAGAAACACAAAAAAUAAAUCCAUGAAUGUUGGAUGUACAGGGAAUGCACAAAACACCGAGAUAAGCCGCACAGCAAUGCAAAUUCUCAUUCAGUAUAACUGCCAUAUUCGGGAAUAUGACAAUGAUAAUAUUGAAACUUAACUUUAUAUUUAUUUGGAGAACAAACGAUACUGCAUAACACAUUAUUCAUCCGCUGCUUCAAGACGAUCUGUUCGAGUAGUACUAGUAGACCAGAAUCCCAAAACAUGAUCAAAGUUUUGUGAAAUCAACUCCUGAUAUCUGACCUACAUCUAGAAUUGAAUAUGAUUGUCGGUUGAGAAUAACACACUUUUGGAUCCUCAAUGCUCUUCAACGCUCUUCAACUUUGUAUUUGUUUGGCUUUAUAACUAUUUUGAUAUGAGCGUCACUGAUGAGUCUUUUGUAGAUGAAACGCGUGUCUGGCGUACUAAAUUAUAAUCCUGGUACCUUUGAUAACUAUUUACGACAAAAAGAUAAUUCGAGCUUUCAAAUCGAGAACUUUCUAUUAAAUGUUAAGAAGCAAAUUCUAAGCAGCGUAUGCAUAUGGAAUAUAUAUCUCCCAGUUGAUCCGAUAUUCCAGAACUUGCAUUUCCUUAGAUUUUAGUUUCAGAAAAGGUGACAAAAGAUGAUACCAUUAAUGUGUGAUUAACACCUCUUUUAUUUUCCAUACAAGAACCCUGAAAGUUGAUGGACAGAUUGUAUCCAUACAUAGUUGUAAUCCAGUUUUUACGUAUAUAUUUUAGGAUUCUUUUUGAGAUAUUACCAAAACCAUGGACAAGAUUUUAAAACUGGGAAUGACAAAUAGAUUCACAAUAUUUGUUUUAUAGAUCUAGAAUGUUUUAAAAAUGAAAAUAAAUUCAUAUCAUGAUUUCAAACGUCAUAAGCGCUUACCUAGAGUAACCUUCAACAGGAAAGCUCAUACCAUGAUAUGUCCAAGCCAGGCGUAUAAAUUUUUGGUUACGAAAGGAGCAUUAAGAAAAAUAAAAAUUUCUUUUGAAUAUUUGUUUCAACUAUUUUGCACCUCUAAAUUCUAAUUACCGUUUACUAGUUAUGUAUCAUCGAGUCAACAACAUUUACGGUACUAAUUUUACUGCACCAGGUGUGUACGUUGUAUUUCGACAAUAGUUGGCUCUUCAGUGAUACUCUAGACAAAAUUUCAAAUUUAUAAAAAAGUCGAAUAGCUUAUAACAAAAACUGAAAAGUAUAGACAGAUUAUUGCAUAAAUAAGAGGAUUGCACCAGGGAGAAAAAAGUAUUUUUAUACAUCUCCGUGCAAGAUUACGUAUAUGUUGAAAGUACGAAUGUUAUUAUGAUAAGUACAUAUAUAUAUUUGUUAAAUUUUAGAUCCACUGUAAAGAGCUUGUAGACAAAUAUAUUGAGUUUGACCCAGUUAUCAUAUGUCUUGAUGCUUUAUUGUUGAAGAGAGAAGCAUUUCAGCAUGUUCUCAGCAAUAACUCAACCCAGGUAAGCUUGUACCGAACAACAACUAAUACUGUUGAUCCAUUUGUCAUGAUAAUAGAUAUUACAAUUGCUUCCAGUACUGAAAAUGAGUUAUGUCUCUGAACGAGUUCCACAAAAAUCAAAUGACUAAAACUAUUAAAACAAUGGUUAAAAGAUAUUCUCAUAUCUAAAAGCAAAACAAAGGUUAAUUAAGGGCGUGUGAUUGGCUGAUUAUGAUCUUUAAAUUGCUAGUCACUUAUGGUCGAAAAGUCUUGUAUUACGAAAAUGUCGCUCUUAUCGUAUUUUUAAGAUUUUAUGCUUAUAUAUACCUCUUUAUUUUUUUCUUAACUCUAGGGGAUAAAUGACUCAUUAGAAAUCAGACCACAAUUUCUUAUUAAAAACUAGUAUGGAAUUUAUUUUAGGAGUAUGUAGGGAGUAUGUCAAUUCUCCAACCUGUCAUAGUUUUCCAGUGCUGGUCCAAACUUCCCGUUCUUCAACACAGAACUAUUUUUCAGAGCUUACUUUUAAGAUUGUUUGUUAAUUUGUAAGCGUCCUGGGUAUGCAAUCAAUAUCUGUAGAUGGACGUCAAGCAAACAACUAUUAAUCUUGUAAAUAAGACAUAUGAAUUACCGGUUUGUACUAUCAUGAGCAACAAGAUGCGUGUUACAUGUGGAGCAGGAUCUGCUUACCAUUCCACAUUACCUGAGAUCAAACCUAGGUUUUGGCGGGAUUCUUUAUUAUUCUGUGUUGUGUUUUGUGUACCAUUGUUUGUCUGUUUGUCUUUUUCUUGUUAAGUCAUUGGCGUUGUCAGUUUUUUUUUGAUUUAUAAGUUUAAAUGUACCUCUAGUAUCUUUCACCCCUCUGUUAUACUUAAGUACCAAUACAUUUUUUAUUAGCCUUUUUCGGGGAAGUAUGUUAUGCACAGUAGGCGGAGAAAUGUCUGAUAAACAAAUGUGGAAUUCAUACCAAUAGUAUGACAUGGCUUUAUAGAAAUUAUUUGAAGAGAAAUCAUCCUUAUUAAGUCAAAACAGUGUUAUACCUCUUUCGCAUACCUUUCGGGUAUUUUAAAAAUCUUCAAUAAAAAAUUGUUGAUUUUUUUUCUUUAGAUGAAUAGACAAAUAUGUUCUGAAUAAUUCAGCAAGAAAACACAUUUACAAAUAUCUACGAUAGGUAGGUUUGAAUAUAAAAUCUCUACAUUUGAACCUAUAAAUCUAUAUAUAAUACUGUCGACUAUGAAAUAAUAUUACCACUGGUUUCUUGACACAACAACCUGUCGAACAAGGAUUUUGUUUUAUUAUAACAAUUUCCAGCCGCUGAAAGCGGAUCGUGUUGCUGUAUUGCCUAUGAUGGACGAACAGCCCGUUUUAGCUCGAACGGAAACAGCAUCACCGCGGUUAGCCUCUACUACGACUAUUUGUGUUGCUGAUGCGUAGUCAUUAUCAUGCUGAGAGUCGGGAUAAGAUUGUCCAAUAACAGCAUUAUUCAAGACAAGCUCGGUAUCGCAAACUGUAUGUACUACAAUAAUGGUCCAUGUAAAUACAUAGACCCCAGUUUCAGGUACGGUAUAUGCUCCAGUGUAAGGGUUGUAGGCUUGUCCUUUAUCUGUCAUCUCUUUGUCAAAUUUUAUCGGGUGGUUGAUUCCAGAGGGAGAAAUAUCAAUUGAAAGGUACGCAUGGAAGGCUAUCACCUGAUUGCUGCUAAUUUCCCUUUUCCUGAAAAAUAUCAUCUUUAUUUUUGAAGACAGUAUUUAGAUAGUUUCAGUUUUUGAUAGAGUUCGUAUUGCUCAGUCUUUGUAUAUAGUUUAUAUAGUUUUCUAUGGUGUUUUGUGUUUGUGUUUGUCUUUUUUAGCGAUGGCGUUGUCUGUUUAUUUUCGAAUAAUUUAUAUGAAUAUCCCUCUGGUAUAUUUUGCCUCUCCAGGGUAACAUUUGAAUUAUGUUUUUUUUAAUAAUUAAAUCUCUACUCAUAAAGUAAGUACUCAUCGGGUCAAUGAAUGCAUCUUAUUCGUCUGGCCGUUCGUCACACACAAUAUUUUCGUCAUACUUUUCUAACAGCAGUAUACUACUGUUGCCUUUAUAUUCCCCAGAAAAUUAUGAAAAGAAUGACAUCAUAUAUAGACUGAUAUGUAUAUGUAAGUAUUGUUAUGCGUUUACUUUGCUAUAUUGGUUAGAGGUAUAGGGGAGGGUUGAAAUCUCAUAAACAUGUUCAACCCGGCGGCAAUUUUACGCCUAUCCCAAGUCAGGAGCCUCUGGCCUUUGUUAGUCUGGUUUGAUUUUUAAUUUUAGUUUCUUGUCUGUAAUUCGGAAUUUAGUAUGAUGUGAAUUAUCACUGUACUAGUAUACAUAUUUGUUAAGGGGCCAGCUGAAGGACACUUUCGGGUGCUGGAGUUUCUCGCUACAUUAAUGACCCAUUGGUGGACUUCGUCUGUUGUCUGCUUUAUGGUCUGGUUGUUGCCGCUUUGACACAUUCCCCAUUUCCUUUCUCAAUUUUGUGAUGAAUAUGUCUCAAAUCUGAUCGAUAGCCUUGAGCGUAGGUAUCAAGACAGGGGACAACACCCAUCAGUCUACAUCGUAUAUUAUAUAUAUAUAUAAUAAAUGUAACGUGUAUUUUUUUAGGAUCUGUACAAAAAUUUCUUCCUGUUUGCCGAUCCAUUGAACUUUUUCACCUUGUUGAAUUAACUUAAACAUUUUUGUCACAUAUCCCCAGCAACUGCUGAACAAAAUGAUCUCAAAUGUGGACAUGUAGUGGUCCAUGCAAUAGAGGUAAAUUAUUACGCUUUUACAGUUUUCAAAUCGAUCUGUCAAUAUAACUUCUUUUUGAUACUUUGAAAUACGAGUUGAGGUAUGCUUAGCACGGCAACAUGAAAUCCAGGUGAAAAAGAUUUGAUUUUAAAUGUAAAUUUAUUAUGCUCUUUAGUAACAUUUCGCGCCCUUCUAAAAAAAAACCACGAUGGCAAUAGAGAUGAUAUCUUACUAGAUGAUGUCUUGUUAAAGGUCAUAAUGGUAUGACUACUCUUGAGAUGGGAAAAGGGUGACCGACGGGAUUACUGUGCUUAAGGAGGUUCGCUUCUCAGUUUCGAAAUAAGUUUUUCAUAACACUAGUAUAUAUUGAUAGGGGAUAAAUAAAGGAACCAAAAAUGCAAAAAAAAAAUAUGUAUAUAGGUCAAUGUGAUUGUUUUCGAGAUAUUAGCCAUUGAAAGUUUGGCGGGGAAAUGUUCUCUCUUGAUUUUUUUCAUAGAUUUAUCAUUGACAAAUUAAAGUUCUCAAAACUAUUAAAAAAUAACAAGGAUUUUAUAUUUUUAUUUACCAAUGACUUAUAAUUAAUUAUACAAGUAAAAGAUUAAUAAACAGAAAAAUGGGGGUCAACGGGCAAAAACUGUUAAGCCAUUAAAAUGGAUGAAUAAAGGCAACAGUACUAUACCGCUGUUCGAAACUCAUAAAUCGAUUAAUAAAAGAAACAAAUCCGGGUUACAAACUAUAACGAGGGAAACGCAUCAAAUAAAAGAGGAUUCGAAAAAUCUGACAAAAAACUCAAAACAUGACAAGUAGUAUAUAAUUAGUCAGGCUGAAUCGGAUAAGCUAGGAAUUUCUUAUUUAGCUCUUUUGGUUAGAGAGCUGACCUGAAACAUAAAGAUCCCGGAUUCGAAUCUGGGAGGAAAAAAAUUGUGAUUUUCUAAUAUGAAUCAUUCUCUCCGUUCACAAAAUCAUGAAGGUUUUUUUUUCUCAAAUUUUCUAUUAAACUUAAUUUACACGGAUUGUUUCGAAUCUGACCAUACACAUGUGAUCCAUAGAGUCCGUUAUUAAGAGUCACAAAUGGUGUUCAUAGGAAAAUCCCAAUCUGUCAAUAAAAUUUAUUGCCGAAUAACUGUUAGCAAAACCCCACCGCAUGACACGAAAAACACUUCUUAAAGCGUGUUGUAGUGGAAACUAUUAUUUCCCUUCAUGACUCAACUGUACUCUUUCAUUUUAAAGGACAUUUUGCAACACAUUUUUUAAAGGGUUCGAAGUUGGUCGUUAGCGAGACAGAUUUUUUUUUAUCCAUAUCAAACACCCCCUCAGUUUCCAGUGGCUGCCAAAGUUUUCAUCCGCAAUGUCGGUCACAUUUUUAUCUAUAGGAUUUAUUGUUCAAUAAGUUCUUCGUACAUUGUAUGCUAAUGUAUUUUAUUAAGAAGAAAAACAAGACAAAGAAAAAUUUGAAAACAAUUAAGAUACUUACGCGUAGAGCGUAAUUCGACUAUAUCAUCUGACAUUUUGUUUAUCUCCGAUUUAAUUCUUUGAAAAUCUGACAACUGCGCUGUCAUUAUUUUGUUCUCAUUCUCCAAUCGUAACAAGUCUUUGCGAAGGGAUUCUAUUUUUCUAUCACAUGUAGAUGUUUCCCCGUGACUAUCAUAUACCAAUAGUACGAACACUAGAAGCGACAAAACCAACAUUAUAAUCCGAAUACGCAGCUUUGUUGACUAUUAACAUAAUGUCAAAAUGGCUUAUCAGUUAUAAAAAGCGUAGUACUACGAAUUGUCAUUCAAGUGCUACUAAACUAUGUUAUCUUCAAGUAAAGAAUAUUGAAGGUAAAACUUAAUAAAUAAACGCAUAUAAAUAAUAUGCACUUUCCAACUUGCUGGUCUCAAGCGUUAUUAUUUAAAGCUACCAAAAGAAAUAAGUGACGUGUUCAUGAAAAUCAGUACCCAAUCACAAAUGUCAAACAGUGAAGGAAUAUGAAAUGCUUAAAGAAUAUGAGAAGACUUUCCGCGCAUUGUAUUUUGAAUUACAUGAUACAGACUGAAAUGAUUUUUUCAUGUCUCUGAUUUCAUGAUCAGAAUAACAAAAACAAGUUAUAUAAUUAUUUAUAUUUUAAAUUUCACAUGUUAAGUCAUAUACGAACGUUUUUUGUUACAAUUAGCUACUUGUUUCUGUAUUUAUGUUAAUGUCAACGCAUGAAGUCAUGAAAUAUCCUUACGCAUUUGUAGUUUCGUCAAAGACCACGAUAGAAAGCAAAGUUGAUGAACAUUUUGUAGAAAUUAGCAGGACAUUAAGGCUAUUCAUUUUGUGCUUUUCAAAUACACACUUUCUGUUGGACCAAAUCAUUGACACUAAUCAAUUAAAUAUUGAAGCUGUCACAGAAAAUGAAAACAAACUUCUUGGUUUUCCCGUUUUAAUGGUUUUACAGUUAGUAAUUGUUGGGCCCUUUAUAGCUUGUUCGGUGUGAGCCAAGGCUCCGUGUUAAAGGACGUACAUUGACUUAUAAUGGUUUACUUUUAUAAAUUGUUAUUUGGAUGGAGAGUCGUCUCAUUGGCACUCACACCAUAAAUUCCUAUAUCUAUUAUAAGUACGAAUUUGUAACGCAACAACUCCAUCUUAUUUUUUUUUUAAAUAACAGAAUGGAAACGGAUUUGUUUUAGGUAUCACCAUGUAAUUUGGCCUUUAAAAUGAUAGCAACUCUACCAUUACUCGUGAUGAUUAACAUGCCCUUAAAAAACAAACAGCUUUUGAUCCAUAUUCGACACACAUCGAGUUAUUCAUUUGAAAAUCGAAAUGUGUAUUAUGUCUGUUUGAAAUAACGGUCUCUUUAUGAGACAAAGAGAUAACAAAAUUUCCAAAAACCGAAGUUGACUAAUUUAAGUUCAAGGUUUUCCAUGAUAGAAUUGUAUUUACAUUAAAGUUUUACAUUCGGUGCACACAAGUGCAUGACAUUUGGCGAAAUAUUCAACUGAACAGAGUUGAUUAUUAUCAGAUAUGAUUUACCAUUCAAAAAUAACAGCACGUCGUUAACUCUUGCAGCCAAAGCGAUUUUUGUCGAGACUGCGAAUUUUGUUGCAAAAGCGAGACAUAGCGAUCUAACAUUUCAUCGUCGUCCUCGGCGGCGGCCAAAAGUAUUCACUCUGUGGUUGAAGUUUUUUUGAAAUUUAAAUGACUUUCUUUAAUUAUUCUGGAUUUGUACCAAAAUUGGACAUACGCUUGAUUAUGAUUUAUGAUCAAAUAAUAGUAAGCAGGAGAAAAAUGUCUGCCACUUAACACUACAUUAACUCUGUGGUCAAAGUUUUGAAAAGUUAGAUUACCUUCUUUAAAAGUAUCAUGGAUUUGUACCAAACUUGGACAGAAGCUUGUUUAUUAUCUAAAAUGACAUUUUGUGAAAUCUUAUUUCCUAUUUUGCAUAUAUACCUUGUAAAAGAACUUUGUUUUCCUUCAAUUUAACAAACAGUCUGGAGGUAAAAAUUUUUAAACAUUUAUUAGAUCAUAAACCAUUCUGAUUUUUAGCUCAACUGGCCCGAAAGGCCAAGUGAGCUUUUCCCAUCACUUGGCGUCCGGCGUCCGUCGUCCGUCGUCGUCCGUCGUCCGGCGCUAACUUUUACAAAAAUCUUCUUCUCUGAAACUACUGUGCCAAAUUUAACCAAACUUGGCCACAAUCAUCAUUGGGGUAUCUAGUUUAAACAAUGUGUCCGGUGACCCGGUCAACCAACCAAGAUGGCCGCCAUGGCUAAAAAUAGAACAUUGGGGUAAAAUGUGGUUUGUGGCUUAUAACUCAAAAACCAAAGCAUUUAGAGCAAAUCUGACAUGGGGUUAAAUUGUUCAUCAUGUCAAGAUCUAUCUGCCCUGAAAUUUUCAGAUGAAUCUGACAACCCGUUGUUGGGUUGCUGCCCCUGAAUUGGUAAUUUUAUGGAAAUUUUACUGUUUUUGUUUAUUAUCUUGAAUAUUAUUAUAGAUAGAGAUAAACUGUAAACAGUAAUAAUGUUCAGCAAAGUAAGAUUUACAAAUAAGUCAACAUGACUGAAAUGGUCAGUUGACCCCUUUAGGAGUUAUUGCCCUUAAUAGUCAAUUUUUAACCAUUUUUCGUAAAUCUUAGUAAUCUUUUACAAAAAUCUUCUCCUCUGAAACUACUGAGCCAAAUUAAUCCAAACUUGGCCACAAUCAUCAUUUUGGUAUCUAGUUUAAAAAUGUGUCUGGUGACCUGGCCAUCCAACCAAGAUGCCUGCCACGGCUAAAAAUAGAACAUAGGGGUAAAAUGCAGUUUUUGGCUUAUAUCUCAAAAACCAAAGCAUUUAGAGCAAAUCUGACCGGGUGUAAAAUUGUUAAUCAGGUCAAGAUCUAUCUGCCCUGAAAUUUUCAGAUGAAUUGGACAAGCCAUUGUUGGGUUGCUGCUCCUGAAUUGGUAAUUUUAAGGAAAUUUUGCUGUUUUUGGUUAUUAUCCUGAAUAUUAUUAUAGAUAGAGAUAAACUGUAAACAGCAAUAAUGUUCAGCAAAAUAAGAUUUACAAAUAAGUCAACAUGAUUGAAAUGGUCAAUUGACCCCCUAAUGAGUUAUUGUCCUUUAUAGUCAAUUUUUAAUAAUUUUCAUAAACUUUGUAAAUUUUACUAACAUUUUCCACUGAAACUAAUGGGCCAAUCAUUAUAGAUAGAGAUAAUUGUAAGCAGCAAGAAUGUUCAGUAAAGUAAGAUCUACAAACACAUCGCCAUCACCAAAACACAAUUUUGUCAUGAAUCCAUCUGUGUCCUUUGUUGAAUAUUCACAUAGACCAAGGUGAGCGACACAUGCUCUUUAGAGCCUCUAGUUUUAUUUCAUUGACUGUAAAUCUAUUAUGUGUAUUCCCUAAUCACACUGAAAACAUAGACAACAGCAAAAGUAGUCGAGAUACUGGGUUCCGCGUCACCCUUACAAGUUUUUGACUUCAGCAGUUAAGGUUUUGUUUAUCUAUCUUGUGUUAAAUAUAGAAAUACGUGUUUUUGAGCAAUCGAAUGAAAAUAUGUAACAUAUAUUGUUAUUGGACCGACAAAGUAUUGAGAGACUAAGAACUAGUAUGCUCCAUGUUCAGUUAACAUAUCACAAAAAUUACAGUUGCUCGUAUAUGAAUAGUAAAUAGUUAUCAAAAAUACCACGAUUAUAAUUUAGUACGCCAGACGCGCGUUUCGUCUCCAUAAGACUCACCAGUGACGCUCACAUCAAAAUAUUUAUAAUAUACAAGUACAAAGUUGAGCAUUGAGAAUCCAAAAUUCCAAAAAGUUGUUCCAAAUACAGCUAAGGUAAUCUAUGCCUGGGAUAAGAAAGGUAAACGUCGCGAUAUAGUCUUUUGCAAAGAUACUACGGAAAGCAUUCAAUAAUCAAUCAAUUUAUGAACUGCAAUUUAUUCUGAUGAUUUAAUACACCAUUUUUGUUCGGAAAUUGCCUGUGUCAUCCAUGACAUGACAUUUGUUUUUUACUUGUUCCUUUUAUUGAUUAUUUUUGAUUUUGUCACUUUUUAUUUAUUUCCCCUUUUUAUUUUACCUUGGAGUUCUGUAUUUGUGUUACAAAUUGCGUUUCAUAUAUUCGUCUGUGAAAAUGACAAAAACAGCAUGUUAUUGUACCCAACAUCGUUGGUAUCUAUAAUGAGAAAACUGACACAUGCUACCAUUUGAAUUUACUUUCCCAUGUAUUAAGUUUGUUCGAAUAAGUUUAAAUUAUAAUAAACCGUGUAAGAACAUGUCAAGGCAUAAAACAAGAGAAGUACACACACAAAUGGUUGUAUAGUUAAAACUAGAUUGAAUUUUAACAUAGCUGUCAUUAAAAUAGUUCUGUGAAGUACUAGUAAUAUGCAGCAAAUAAUAAAAUGAAUGGUAAAGAUAUGACUUUUGCAGUUUAAUUGAGAAUAGUACUGUACAAAGUACAAAAAGUAUGUUCAGUUGUUGUCCUCUUAUAGUUGACGUGUUUCCCUAAGGUUUGGUUUGUGACCCGGGUUCAAACCCGGGUCACAAACCAAACCUUAGGGAAUUCAGUUAACGACAAUUUAGAAUUGAUGACUUGUGAACAGCGGCAUACUUCUAUUACCUUUAUUUUUCAGAGUCUUCACAGUUCUAAUCAUUACAUACAAACUGCAUUCAUGUCCUAAUUUCUUUUAUUCAAUUAUCUUCCAGGCUCAAUGGAAACUAACUUCAAUAUUGUUACUUUUUGACGCAUACACAAAACUUGUUCAUCAGAGACAGAACGGAGACCAGAUCAACAGGCCUAUGCCAGAUAGCGUUUUAUACUCUGCAUUCGAAUGGGAUCUUUACUUCAACUAUUUUAUAGCCGUUAUAGGUAUAAAACAAUCCGUAAAUUAUGAAAGGAUGUUUUUAUUCAGAAAAAGAGUCAUUACAUGCAAUAAGUACGCUUUGAAAUUCAAUUUGAUGAUUAGAUUAGAAUGUUAAAGAAAUGUUUGCAAUAUAAUAUCGUUUUGGUGUAUAUCUAUUGUUUUUUGUGUGUUAAUUUUAAGUUCAUUGAUUUGAGUAAUUUCAUUAAAACUAAGGUCUCUACUAAGUUGAAUUACGCUUAUUCAUUCAAAGAGUUCCUUCAAUUUCUUUUUAUUAUUUUAAAUAUCCCAGAAACGAACGAAACGCAAUUUUAUUCACUGCUAUUAUAUUGUACUUUUUUCAGAACUAGUUAUAUGUAUAUGUGUCAUAUUGAUGGUGUUUGCCAUCGCCAGUAGGAUAAAGCCUUCCUUGGAAAAACUUGGGUAAGUUUCAUUUGAAUAGGUUACAUCACCCUAAUUAUCAGAUCCUUUUUGUUUACAUAUUUACACCAAUCUCAAUCAUACUUUGAAUACUUGGGUUAUUAAUGUAAUUUUGAAGACAGUAAAGCAUAGUUUAAACGGCCAAUUUCAAGUUUAUUUUUGGGGGGUUUUCUGUCACAUUUAGUUUUAAACUAAUCGUAUUAAUACAAAAAUAUUAUACCGUGAGGUAAUUAUAUAAAUACUGAUUAUACAAUGAGCUAGUGUUAUUGAAAAGUUCUAAGAUAGUAAUGGACUAAAUCAAACGCCGGACUACCAAAAGCGUGGCAAGGUCAAACUUAUCUAUAAAAUAGAAAAUACAAAAAAAAUACUAAGUUGUAUUUUGUUAUAAACAGGAUUUAAAAUUUGUAUACUCUUUGCUGCAACGUAUUCUUUUUUUUAAAUAUCAUAAUUGAUUAAUGUUUCCAAAACUGUAUAACAAAAAUAGUGUUGACUUGUUUAAAACGUCCUUAAUACAGAUAUUGAACGGACACAUUUAAAUUAAUUAAGGUUAUUAGGAACUGCAACUACUCGUGGUACUUUAUAUUUAAAUAUAUAAAUUUGAGAAACAAGCAUGUAAAAACGAAGAUGUGACAAAUGAUAAAUCGUUAAUACCCUUUUCUUUAUAUUUUGUUUGUAGAUUUAAUGAAAUCGUAAGAGCCAUUUUGUUGUCAAAUUUUGGUAAGGUAUUGGUGAUCCCUGCUGUGUUUUGGGGUUAUAACGAGAUGUAUGUGUGGUUAACAGCAAUAUUUGUCUGUGCAUCAAAUGUUCAAGCUUUUCGUGGUAAGUUACUUUUUUUAAUGAUUAUUUAAGGUUAUGCAUUUCUUAUUUAAGGUCUCUUUCAUGGAACCAGUUAUGUAGAUAUUAUUUUAUAUAUUGGAUCAGAUUCAUUUGGUUUAGAUAUAAGGGAAUCAAAAUUGCUACAUUUGUAGAAAAUGUGUUUAAACGCCUGGGAGAUGCUCCGUCGAUUGGUAAAAUUAACCUUUGAACUAUUUAUGUUAAAUUAUGUUAAAAAUACCCUAUUAAAAAGGGUUUACAUCAGGCUAUGUACUAUUCCCGUACAUCAUGAACAUACCUACCAAGAAAGUGAGAUCGCCUGCGUCGAUCGUGUCAACUUUUCCUUGUCGAGAUGUGUUUACCACAUAAAGCUAGUUUUCCUGUCUGAAAGUCAAAGUUUCUCUCCUGGUACGUUGGCUUCUUCCGCCAAUAAAAUCUGGCGUCCAUGAUGUGCCAAGUUAGCCGAAGCAGCAGAUAAAUAAUGCGUAGUUCUUUUUGAUUUUGGCAUUUGGCUAACAACCCAUUAAGUUGUUUGUUAUUCAAUACGUCAAAGUCAUCGGUUAUAACAUGACUAACAGGAAUGAUUACAGAAGAGCAACUAAUCAAGUUUAGUUUGAAGAUUACAAUAAUUAUUAUUCGUCUGUAUAUUUUUUUGUGUGUGAAUUUAAUAGUCUUAUAAUUACAUUAGAUGUAUGUUUCAUUUUAAUACUUUAUUCUGAUUGGGUAACUGCACAUCACAUGUUAUUCCGUAAGCAAUUGCAUCACUCAAUAAAACUGUUCAUUCAUGAUAACACGUGGUCCCACAAUAAAGUGCACAGGUGAAUUAAAUAAAAACAGUAUAAAAUUCGUGUUUUCUUGAUCAUAGCUCAAAAAUGUAAUUAUAAGUAUUGAAAGCUUCUUUUUGUAACUUCAUAGGGUUGUAAAAGCUUUGACCGUGCGCACAUUUUUAGAAUCAAGCGCUUCCGCGCUUCAUACAAAAUGUACUUCGGUCAACGCUUUUACACACCAAUGAAUUUACAAAAAGAAGCAUUCAAUUCUUAAAUAGAGAUUUUAUUUGACAUGGAGUUCAUUUUCAAUGUCCAGUUAUUUGCAUAUUUAUAGGUCGCGAUAUGGUCAUUGUUUCUAUAAUUUAAGAAAAGAGUCGAGACUAUGUAUGUGCGUUUGUUUCUGUUAAAGUACAAUUGCAAGUCAACCUACCGUGAUCACUGUUUUAUAGAAUAAACAAAUAGUGUUUUUUUUUAAUAUUAUCUAAUCUAAGACCAUUAUUUGUUGAAAUGCACAUCUGGUGCAUAAUCAUUUGUACUGUUGAUGUUAUUUACAUGAUUAUCCUAAUGAUAUAUUCACUUUUUUUUUCUAUUUCAGUUUUAUGUCCUUCAUGGCCAGCUAUUUUUAGUGCAGUUGUUGUCAUUUCAAGUCAUGUCAUAGCGUCUACAACUGGCAGCAUAAUUUAUAAUUUUCAUUUUGCGUUCAAAUAAACUUAUAAGUAGUUUCAGCCUGUAUUUUAUAUCUAGCAAUGUUCUGGAUGUUCAUAAUGCUCACAAUCAAAACAUUGAACCCUCAUAUUGUUUAAAGAAAUUAAUAAGCUGUAACACC